UGGAGUCAGGCUGAUUUUCAAGGUCGAGGCUAACCAAGAACUUCGUGGCCUUGUUUGCAAUAGCGCAAACGUUCUUCCCACGAAGGUUAUCGAGGAUGCCUUUCGAAACGAGUAUGUUUUGCAGGAAAAGUUGUGAACAUUCAAAGGCUUAACACGGUUCUCGACACUUUGAAUGGAUGGUACCGAGAUAGAGGCUACUUUGCACAGGUGACAGACCUGGAGAUAAUGCCAGACGGUAUUCUCAAAGUACAAUUUGCUGAGGCAGUAGGUAACAACAUCAAUAUACGAUUUUUGGACAGGAAAACGUAAGCUUUUCUAGUCCACGGGAUGUGCAAAGUCAAGGCGCAUGACAAGGUAUAUGCGAAUAAUGUAGCGGACAGGCUCGCCAAGACAGGGCGCCAACUCGAGGGGCGGAAGAUCCAGUGGUUCCACGUAGAAAGGUCUGGUGCGAUUGUGAAAUUGUGAAAUAUAGUGAGAUUAUAUUUUAAUGUAGUGUUGAUACAUUAAUA
Long non-coding RNA from Selaginella moellendorffii, 509 nucleotides. RefSeq lists it as uncharacterized. The transcript has 4 exons. NCBI's taxonomy places the organism in Eukaryota, Viridiplantae, Streptophyta, Lycopodiopsida, Selaginellales, Selaginellaceae. The record is from RefSeq and is a predicted model, not a curated record.